RNAcentral lists this ribosomal RNA (620 nucleotides) under Staphylococcus saccharolyticus. Its description in RNAcentral is "bacterial SSU rRNA". It matches the Rfam family "Bacterial small subunit ribosomal RNA", at positions 1 to 603 of the family's 1533-position model. Lineage: Bacteria; Bacillati; Bacillota; Bacilli; Caryophanales; Staphylococcaceae. The record is from RNAcentral.
UUUAUGGAGAGUUUGAUCCUGGCUCAGGAUGAACGCUGGCGGCGUGCCUAAUACAUGCAAGUCGAGCGAACAGACGAGGAGCUUGCUCCUCUGACGUUAGCGGCGGACGGGUGAGUAACACGUGGAUAACCUACCUAUAAGACUGGGAUAACUUCGGGAAACCGGAGCUAAUACCAGAUAACAUGUUGAACCGCAUGGUUCAACAGUGAAAGACGGUCUUGCUGUCACUUAUAGAUGGAUCCGCGCCGCAUUAGCUAGUUGGUAAGGUAACGGCUUACCAAGGCAACGAUGCGUAGCCGACCUGAGAGGGUGAUCGGCCACACUGGAACUGAGACACGGUCCAGACUCCUACGGGAGGCAGCAGUAGGGAAUCUUCCGCAAUGGGCGAAAGCCUGACGGAGCAACGCCGCGUGAGUGAUGAAGGUCUUCGGAUCGUAAAACUCUGUUAUUAGGGAAGAACAAAUGUGUAAGUAACUAUGCACGUCUUGACGGCACCUAAUCAGAAAGCCACGGCUAACUACGUGCCAGCAGCCGCGGUAAUACGUAGGUGGCAAGCGUUAUCCGGAAUUAUUGGGCGUAAAGCGCGCGUAGGCGGUUUUUUAAGUCUGAUGUGAAAGCCC